Molecule: ribosomal RNA, 421 nt
Filed under: Salmonella enterica subsp. enterica serovar Kentucky
Lineage: Bacteria; Pseudomonadati; Pseudomonadota; Gammaproteobacteria; Enterobacterales; Enterobacteriaceae
Description: bacterial SSU rRNA
Rfam family: Bacterial small subunit ribosomal RNA
Source: RNAcentral
AAAUUGAAGAGUUUGAUCAUGGCUCAGAUUGAACGCUGGCGGCAGGCCUAACACAUGCAAGUCGAACGGUAACAGGAAGCAGCUUGCUGCUUUGCUGACGAGUGGCGGACGGGUGAGUAAUGUCUGGGAAACUGCCUGAUGGAGGGGGAUAACUACUGGAAACGGUGGCUAAUACCGCAUAACGUCGCAAGACCAAAGAGGGGGACCUUCGGGCCUCUUGCCAUCAGAUGUGCCCAGAUGGGAUUAGCUUGUUGGUGAGGUAACGGCUCACCAAGGCGACGAUCCCUAGCUGGUCUGAGAGGAUGACUAGCCACACUGGAACUGAGACACGGUCCAGACUCCUACGGGAGGCAGCAGUGGGGAAUAUUGCACAAUGGGCGCAAGCCUGAUGCAGCCAUGCCGCGUGUAUGAAGAAGGCCUU